GAAGGGAAAGAGGAAAUAAAUCACAGCUGAGUCUCCACAGGCUCUGGGAAGGUCUCUGGCUCUGGGGAACGUCAGGAAGGAGCCAGGAGGCCUCCGCCUUGGAACCACAGCCUGAGUCUGGGGGGCUGAGGAGAAGGGGCUGCUGAGCAGUGGGGAUCAGUGUUAUGUGGGGUCAGUAUCGGGCUUGGGAUCGACCCCAUAGUCCUCGGAGUGAGGGAGGAUAGAGCCCAGGCUGGGAGACCGGUUCUGCUGUGUGUCUCUGGGCAAAUCUCCUCCCCUCUCUGAGCCUCAAUCACCCCAUCUGGAAGGUGGGGCAGGACUGGAUGGACAGGAGAAGCCCUUCCAGCUCUGAUGCUAUGUGGAAAUGGACACAUCGAGUCAGCGGAGGGGCUGAGAUUCCGGAGGGAGGCUGGCUGGGAGCACUGAGACCCAGGGACCCCGCGCUGGAGGCAGAGGGUCCAACCAAGGGUGGUGCCAGACUCAGCCACAGGAGGAGGAGAGGAGCCAGGAGGCAGCCAGGGCCAGGAAGAAGUCCAGCGUGGUGACAUUAACAGGGAGAUGGAACCGCCUGGCUUUUUGGUCCCUGGACACGGGCACCAUCACACACCUGAGCGAAGCCCCAUCUCCUGCUGUCCCCGCCGGUCCCGCCCCCCGCCUGCUGCAUGAGCUGUUUCCUACCUCAGGACCUUCGGCAGGGUCAUGGCACGGCCCGGGCACCUCCUGGCCCUGCUUAAAUAUCGCCUCCCCCAAAGCGCCUUCCUUGACGAUUCUACCCAAGAGGGUCACCCUGACAUUAUCUAUUUCAGCACCGCACUGUUGAAUACAUAAAAUUCACCGCGAUUUAUAAUCAAUCCGAUGGUCUAUCUCAUUAUCAUGUAUUUCACUACUGUUCGUUGUAAUAACGGCCCUCCUGCUACAGUGUCACCUAAAACCGAGCAGGGGCCAUGUGGGUGCUCCACAGACGUUUGCUGAUGGUCAUCAAACAUUUCUGGAAAAACCACAUGAAGGAGAGAAUGGUUCACCUGGCUUUGGGAGGAGGAGAAGGAACUAGAAAGGUGAAAGGACGUGUUCAUCUGUAUCAGCAGAAAACUCAACUGUCCGUAGCUGAACUUGUAAGGACAGCUGUGGCUGACUUAGCCAGGUGUCUGGAUGGCGGAUGGCCUGAGCAUAAUGAUGUCAGCUGGCGCCCCAGUUCCUUCCAUCUCUCCUGGUCAGAUUGGGCUUCUAUCACAGAGUGCCACAGACUGGGUGGCCAGAAGCCAGAAGUCCAAGACCGGGGUGCCAGCGUGGUCGGGAACCCGCCUCCGGGUUGCACACUGUCCACUUCUUGUAUCCUGUCAUGGCAGAAAGAGUGUGAGAGACUUUUGGGUGCCCCCAUUUUUUUGGAGGGGGGAGGGGCAGAGGCAGAGGGAAAGAAAGAAUCUUAAGCAGGCUCCAUGGCCAGCUCGGAGCCUGAUUCAGGGCUCAAUCCCUCAACACUGAGAUCAUGACCUGAGCCAAAAUCAAGAGUCCGACGCUUAACUGACUGAACCAUCCAGGUGCCCCUUGGGUCCCUUUUGUAUGGGCAUAAAUCCCAUCCAAGAGGGCUCUGCCUUUGUGACCUAAUGACCUCCCAAAGGCCACACCUGCCCACACCAUGACCCUGAGGGUUAGGAUUCCAACAUGUGGAAGCUGGGGGGACACAAACAUUCAGUCCACCGCACCAUCUACCACUUUAGUACUCUCAGCAGGUUGGUCCUUAUUCUUAGGCUUGAGGUCUCAUGGUCACAAGAUGGCUGCCACAGUUCCAGGCAUCACAGCCUCACACAACAGUGUCCAAAAUAGGAAGGGAGGGAAGGGAGCAAAGGAACCAUCUCCUGUGGUUUUCUCUUCCAUCGGAGAGGAAAAUCUUUACCUUGAAGCAUAGUGUCACUUACCAGGCCCUCCAGAGUUUCCUCCUUAUGUUGUUAUCACUCUAAAAGGGACCACAUGUCCACCCAAGACUCAUGAGUGGCAAAGCACACAGACUGCCACGAUUACCUUAGACCAGCUGAGAUUCAUCCUGCAAUCAUCUGCGUUAUACAUAAUUCACCAAGAACUUUCUGUAGCAGGGAGGAGAGCAGACAAUGGCAGUGCCCCAUUCACUGUCUCUUAGGAGCCUCCCAGUGUCCUAUGGGAUAGACAAGGUGACUCUUCCUGGUCUCUAGGACAUUGUCCUCCUGGUCAUUUGGGAAAGCAGGGCUCAGGGAGGUUACGGAGGGUGCUCAGCGGGCGCCUGGGUGGCUCAGACAGUGAAGCAUCUGCCUUCGGCUCAGGUCAUGAUCUCAGGGUCCUGGGAUCGAGCCUCACAUCGGGCUCCCUGCUUAGUGGGG
Ailuropoda melanoleuca (giant panda) is the source of this 2351-nucleotide long non-coding RNA. RefSeq lists it as uncharacterized. The transcript has 3 exons. The record is from RefSeq and is a predicted model, not a curated record. Lineage: Eukaryota; Metazoa; Chordata; Mammalia; Carnivora; Ursidae.